UCUGCUAUUGUUUACUUUGAACCUUAUCGCAUACUUUUUCCAAGAACUAUGAUUUUCUACAUCUCCAGAGCAACUAUGAAUCCUACAAGAAACACAGCAGUUUGGUCAUCUGAAGAAUUAAGUAAAUUUUCGUUUGAAGGUCAUCAUAUGAUUUCAAAUACAUUUAUAUGCCAACAGUUAUUUUUCUGCAGUUGAAAACUCAAAGUAUAAAAGAAGAACCAAAUUGACUGACGAGCAUCUACAAUUCCUGGAAACGGACGCUUCUGAAUACACAAAUGAAAACUGCAAAUUGGACACUUCAUUCCUAGACAAAGGAAGUUAUAAACAUUUAUUUCCUUAGAGCACAAAAGUGAACCAGCAGCGAAACAAUGCGUAUACAAACUUUUCUUCCCAAGUGAAUGACGAGUGCACGCAGAAAGCCUGAUGCAAUCAAGCAAGCUCUUUCUUUUUUGAAAGCUGUUUUAAAGUUGUCACAAAGUAUAUGAGGCCUCACCCUUCAUUCGAAGAUGUUCUUUAGACGGUCGUUGCUCUAUUCCUUUUCACUUUCACGUUUUGAGAAUGGAGAAAAGCACAUGUUUAUCCUCAGGAAGAAAGUCCAGCCUGACGUUCUUGAACCGAAAGGGCUUGAGAGUUUUCCUUCAGGACAAGACCAAGACCUGUUUCCUUUUUAUCCACAAGGUUAACUGUACUUGCGAAAUAGUAAACAGUUCGUUGUGGUCACAAAGGAAUGGAGCUGAGCGUUCUUUUUUGAACGCAAAGAAAAGCACAAAGGUUAACCCAUAUUUUCGGGGUUGAAAUGUUUACAAAGAACAUUAAAUAGCUGUCUGGUAUUUGUAAUGGAAAAUACGGCAGUGUAAUGUGCGCACGUGUUUGCAAUUAAUUAAAAGGGAUGUUUUGAAUGCUUUAGGGACGGGAACUCCAAGAAGAGCCUUAAUUAAUCCUUCGAUGAAUUGUUAGAAUAUAUCCUUAAUGAGACUCUUUUUGUUUAAUAUUAGAACUAGAUUUCAUUAAAAGGAUCAAAAGUUUGCGAAAAUAAAAUAUCAAAGUUAGGAACUUUUUAAAAGGUUGAUUUACAAAGCAUUCAUAAAUGAUAUGAAUUUCAUUUUACGUAUAUUUUACAUUAUUUUACUUCAUAUUCCGAAUUUUAAUAUCCAUAUAAAAUGAAUACAUACAAAAUUAAUAAUGAAAAUGAUAGUAACUUGUAAUUGUGCUGGCUUCUUGAAAUCCUGUUGGAUAUAUCAUAGUUCUGAAUAUUAUGAGGGAUUUGCUUAAAACCAGGUGUACGUAGCGCAGUGCCAAAUGAACUCACCCAUCUAGAGGAAGGGGGAAGCGUUAAACUAUUAUUAAGAAAUUUAAUAUUCUAACUAAAUAGAGAGCAUGUUCGAAAAGAAAAUUGAGACAAUGUACAAAUAAAAUAAAUGAAGUUUACAAAUGGUUCCCUAAAAUAAGCUUUUACUUAAAAUGCAUAAAAAUCAUCUACAAUCUUAUAUCAUGAAUAACAAAUGCGUCCGGAGCCCUUGAGAGUUGACAACGAUAUCAUUUACACAUUUUUACACAUACUUUUCAGCUUAUACGUUUGAUCAUGCAAUUCGAUUCGUAGAUUAAUCGUUAUUUUUGACGCCUGUGCUUUUAUUAUUCGCGUUAUUAUAUUCGCGUAGAUACAUUUUGUAAAGAUAGUUAUGUAAUCUCUUUUCUCCAUUAAAUUACAUGAU
Molecule: long non-coding RNA, 1712 nt
Organism: Stegodyphus dumicola
Lineage: Eukaryota; Metazoa; Arthropoda; Arachnida; Araneae; Eresidae
Source: RefSeq, a predicted model, not a curated record